RNAcentral lists this ribosomal RNA (954 nucleotides) under Triticum aestivum (bread wheat). RNAcentral's name for it is "partial small subunit ribosomal RNA". The record is from RNAcentral. Lineage: Eukaryota; Viridiplantae; Streptophyta; Magnoliopsida; Poales; Poaceae.
AUGGAUGAUAUCCCCGAGGAGGAAUUCCAGGCAGACGAUGCACGGCUCAGGUCUCACAUAGUAGAUGAAGUUGACACCGAUGAUAGAUUGGAUGAAGAGGAGGCGAACAGGAUCAGUCACAAGUACGCACGAUACCGCCUCAAAGCUUGCAUGUUGCUCAAAGGAGUGCCUAUCGACGAUGCUGCAUUCGACUCCCAGUACCCUCCAGACCUUCCCUUGGACAACCACCGUCUUUACCUGGAAGAUGAAGCCUUGGGCUGGUGGUUUGACUUGGGCACCUCAUCACCCGCGACCUUGAGCGACUAUCAGCGGCUAGUCCCUUGUAAUGAAGGGGGCGUUGAGUAUGAAAGUUGGAGUGAAUACCGAGAGUUUUAUAGCACCCCUGAAACUGAUAGAGAUUAUCUGCUGUACUGGGAAACGAUUGUGAAGGAUCUUAAGUGGAUUGAAGAGCAUGCGCUUAAAGGCUAUAUGGAGUGGUCUGAGUUGCGUGGAAAAGCUUGGCGCCAAGCAGUUAGGAUUGCUACUAGGUUCGAAAACAUUCCUCUGAGCCUAGCACAUUAUGGUUUCCAGGAGUAUACAACGAGCAGAUAUCUCGCGUUCGUGAAAGAUCUUGACUCUGUGUUUUUUGAGAUUUGGAAGCUGGUCAAUGGGCGUGAUAAGAUGUCUUUCAGAGAUGCUAUGAAGCAGGUGUAUGAGGAGAACCCGUUUCCAUUACGCAAACGUGAUUUGGAGCACGAGCUGAGUCACCCUGUCUCGUUGGGAUUGGAGGAAGACUUUCGACGGUGCACGGAGGGCAUCAGCAAGGAAGUUCCAGAGUGGAUAGCGCGUAUGUUAAUUUCACAGGAAGUUAGUUUCAAGUGUGAUCUGCCAAGGAGGUAUGUGCAGUACGCCACGAAGAAGCUCAAGAUUGCAGAAGUCAUAGGAUUGAUUCCCAAGGCCAAGAUACAAGCCUAG